GAUGAAGAACGCAGCGAAAUGCGAUACGUAAUGUGAAUUGCAGAAUUCAGUGAAUCAUCGAAUCUUUGAACGCAUAUUGCGCUCUCUGGUAUUCCGGAGAGCAUGCUUGUUUGAGUAUCAGUAAACACCUCAACUCCCUUUUCUUUUUUGAAAUUGGAGCUGGACUUGAGUGAUCCCAACGCUUUCUUCCAAGAAAGUGGCGGGUUGCUUGAAAUGCAGGUGCAGCUGAACUUUUCUCUGAGCUAUAAGCAUAUCUAUUUAGUCUGCCUAAAAACAGAUUAUUACCUUUGCUGCAGCUAACAUAAAGGAGACUAGUUCUUGUGCUGACUGAUGCAGGAUUCACAGAGACAGCUUCGGCUGACUUUGUAAACUCGAUCUCAAAUCAAGUAAGACUACCCGCUGAACUUAAGCAUAUCAAUAAGCGGAGGA
RNAcentral lists this unclassified non-coding RNA (429 nucleotides) under soil metagenome. RNAcentral's name for it is "partial contains 5.8S ribosomal RNA, internal transcribed spacer 2, and large subunit ribosomal RNA". The stretch from base 1 to 120 matches the Rfam family "5.8S ribosomal RNA", at positions 35 to 154 of the family's 154-position model. The record is from RNAcentral.